UUAUAUUAGAUGCUGAAAAUUAUCAUUAGUCAUCCAGUACUCCGUGAAUCCCACCUUUCGGAGAUCACCACACCAUUAUCUAUAUUUUCGGUUAUUUGUUCACAAAGCGAGAAGUUUUGCAUUCUCAAUGACUCAGAAAGUCAGUCUGGGGAUUCAACAAUCUGGUAGGGGAUCAUUGAGAUCUGGUAUUGCAAUGAAAGCUUUGCGCCCAGGUAGUGAAGAAGAUUGAACGGUGGGUUGACAUGAUCCAUGUAAUUGAACAUCCUCAAGAGCCAUG
RNAcentral lists this long non-coding RNA (277 nucleotides) under Musa acuminata (dwarf banana). RNAcentral describes it as "long non-coding RNA (MACU_LNC000185)". Lineage: Eukaryota; Viridiplantae; Streptophyta; Magnoliopsida; Zingiberales; Musaceae. The record is from RNAcentral.